Molecule: ribosomal RNA, 1409 nt
Filed under: uncultured bacterium
Lineage: Bacteria
Description: bacterial SSU rRNA
Rfam family: Bacterial small subunit ribosomal RNA
Source: RNAcentral
AGAGUUUGAUCCUGGCUCAGGAUGAACGCUGGCGGCAUGCCUAACACAUGCAAGUCGAACGGAGCAUAUGAGCGCUUAGGAGUUAGUGGUUAGCGGAUAGGUUUUACCUAAUUACUAGCCACUAUGCCCUAACCCUAUGCUUAGUGGCGAACGGGUGAGUAACACGUUGGUACCUACCUCAGAGUGGGGGAUAACCAGGGGAAACUCUGGCUAAUACCCCAUAGUCUACGGCUCGUCCGUAGUAAAGGUUUACUGCUCUGAGAGGGGCCUGCGGUCCAUUAGCUUGUUGGUGGGGUAAAAGCCUACCAAGGCGAUGAUGGAUAGCUGGAUCGAGAGGUUGACCAGCCACACUGGGACUGAGACACGGCCCAGACUCCUACGGGAGGCAGCAGUGAGGAAUCUUCCACAAUGGACGAAAGUCUGAUGGAGCAAUGCCGCGUGCGGGAAGACGGCCUUCGGGUUGUAAACCGCUUUUCUGAGGGAAGAAAUUUUGACGGUACCUCAGGAAUAAGCAUCGGCUAACUACGUGCCAGCAGCCGCGGUAAUACGUAGGAUGCAAGCGUUAUCCGGAAUUAUUGGGCGUAAAGCGUGUGUAGGUGUCCGGUCGCGUCCGCCGUAAAAUCUCCAGGCUCAACUUGGAACUCGCGGUGGAUACGGAUCGGAUAGAGGUCGGAAGAGGCAGAUGGAAUUCCCGGUGGAGCAGUGAAAUGCGUAGAUAUCGGGAGGAACACCAAUGGCGAAGGCAGUCUGCUGGGCCGAACCUGACACUGAGACACGAAAGCGUGGGUAGCGAACGGGAUUAGAUACCCCGGUAGUCCACGCCUUAAACGAUGCCGGACUAGGUAUUGGGAGUAUCGACCCUUCCAGUAUCGAAGCUAACGCGUUAAGUCGGCCGCCUGGGGAGUACGAGCGCAAGCUUAAAACUCAAAGGAAUUGACGGGGGGAGCGCACAAGAGGAGGAGCAUGUGGUUUAAUUUGACGCUACGCGAAGAACCUUACCCACUCUUGACAUCCCGAGAACCCCCUAGAGAUAGGGGGGUGCCCGGAAGGGAACUCGGUGACAGGUGUUGCAUGGCCGUCGUCAGCUCGUGUCGUGAGAUGCUGGGUUAAGUCCCGCAACGAGCGCAACCCUUAUCGUCUGUUGGAUUUUUCAGGCGAGACUGCCGGCGACAAGCUGGAGGAAGGUGGGGAUGACGUCAGGUCAGCAUGGCCCUUACGAGUGGGGCUACACACGUGCUACAAUGGCCGCCACAACGAGUCGCGAAGCCGCGAGGCCAAGCUAAUCUCCCAAAAGCGGUCCCAGUUCGGAUAAGAGGCUGCAACUCGCCUCUUUGAAGUAGGAUUCUCUAGUAACCGUGGGUCAGCAUACCGCGGUGAAUACGUUCUCGCUCCUUGUACACACCGCCCGU